GUUUAGUCUAAGAAUGGGCAAUUUUCACUGAAGGUGCUGCCUCUGUGGGAACCAGACUCUGUGUGUGUGUGUGCGUGUGUGUGUGUGUUGUGUGUGUAUGUGCGCACGUGCGUGCAUGUGCACACAUGUGCUUACGCCUCUGCAAUAAUCUCAGGUCAUGCAGGCCCAGCCAUGUCCUUGUCAUCCUCACAUUUCUUCUAUUGAUGUUGCACAAGAACCCUGGACAUUUCCAGAGAGGCUGAAUGAUGGGGGCACCAGACAGGGGAUCAGCCACACCCACUUCCAGGACCUGCCUUUUCUGCUUCUUGCCCUUCCAAGUGUGUUUCCUGAGACGUUCAGGUUUUUAAGGACCCAUAGGGAUGUUGCUUGGGAUUUGUGUUCUGUAGUUGGUGCUCUGUGUCUUGUUCCACCUUUUACUUCUCCUGCUAGUCCCUAAGAGUCACCUCUCAUCAUGGAUGGGGACUUCCAUGUCCCCCAAAUGACUUCAGGAGAGCAUCUCAAGCCCAACGCAUUGUGGGCUCUUCCUGCCCCUCUGGAUUCUCACUGCUUGCCCACGACGAGGAUCUGAUCCCUGGCAGGAGAUGGCUUGGCAUGUGGGUUAAAAGAAGAUAGUUCUUGAGAAAGUUGUGGUGAGGGGCUGUGUUCUGGUCUAUCUCCUGAGUUCCAAGCUUUCAGUUUUGU
RNAcentral lists this long non-coding RNA (681 nucleotides) under Marmota monax (woodchuck). Lineage: Eukaryota; Metazoa; Chordata; Mammalia; Rodentia; Sciuridae. The record is from RNAcentral.